GGAAGGGUGUCCGAGUGGCCUAAGGAGCACGCCUGGAGAGCGUGUAGGCGGCCCAAACCGCCUCGUGGGUUCAAAUCCCACCCCUUCCGCCA
This 92-nucleotide transfer RNA is filed under the name Bacillota bacterium. RNAcentral's name for it is "tRNA-Ser". It matches the Rfam family "tRNA". From Rfam's summary of the family: Transfer RNA (tRNA) molecules are approximately 80 nucleotides in length. Lineage: Bacteria; Bacillati; Bacillota. The record is from RNAcentral.